AAUUUAGAGAAUAGAGACGUGAGAAUAAAUAUAGAAGUGGAGGAAUUACGUGUUUGAUUUGCAUUAGUUUACUUGUCAAUUUUUAAUUUGAGUUAUUUAUCAUUAUCUCAGCUAGCGACGUAAAAGUUUUGGAAAUGCUUGUCAAUAUAACCAGAUUGCUAUCCAUAGAUAUGUGAGUAGAACGAUUUAAACAUUUUCAAGUUUUGAUAAAUUAAUUAUACUAUUACAUUAUGUGCAAUUAUAUGUUCGAUACAUUAUUUCCAAAGAUUGUAUAUGAUACAUUUGUGAAUCGAAAUAUGAGACAUAUGUGAUAUUGAGAUUGACCAGAAAAGUACUCAUAAUUGUUUAUUUUUUCUAGUUUAUGAGGGACCUUGGUCGUGUUUUAUAUUGCACUAAGGGAUCUUGACUGUGGAUAAGUAGGUCUUCACAAUGCAUAUAUAGCUCACUGAGGGUCCUUAGCCAUGUUUCAAAUUGAUUAUGAGAGGUCUUUAAAACCCGUUUUGUUCACUAAAAGGGCUCGAGGCCCAUUUCUGGAGUGUUUAGUCCGAGGGGCACUCUACACGUGUAUGACCAAAUUACAGAUAUUAGUCAGAGGCUACAUUUUUUGUGGAUCUUUCAGUAUAUUUUAUGUAAUGAGAUCAUAUAAUGGAUAUCAACUGAUAAUAUCUUGAUUACGAGAUGAUAUUA
Molecule: long non-coding RNA, 687 nt
Filed under: Olea europaea subsp. europaea
Lineage: Eukaryota; Viridiplantae; Streptophyta; Magnoliopsida; Lamiales; Oleaceae
Source: RNAcentral